Molecule: long non-coding RNA, 475 nt
Filed under: Pongo abelii (Sumatran orangutan)
Lineage: Eukaryota; Metazoa; Chordata; Mammalia; Primates; Hominidae
Description: lincRNA
Rfam family: JPX transcript, XIST activator conserved region 1 (bases 1-116)
Source: RNAcentral
AAGAUGGCGGCGUUUGCGCGGGGUGUAACCACUGCGUCCUUACGGGGGUUGCAAGGCGUCCGAAGUAUGAGUCCACUAACAAAAGUCCAGAAACUCGCCAGUUAAUAGUAUUGUGUCUCUUCAAAAUAUCGGAAAAUAAUUUCUUUCUCGCUGAUCGCCUAACUUCUACUGACGAGGCUAGGAAGUUGCAGAAGAAAUACAAAAAAAUUCUAAAACUUGUAUGGAACUACAAAAGACAUUAAAUAAUUAAAGUAAUCUUGAGCAACAAGGACACAGCUGGAGGCAUCACUCUACCUGAUUUUGUAAUCCAUUAUCAAAAAACUGUGGUACCAGCAUAAAAACAGAUUCACUGACCAGUGGAACAGGAUAGCCCAGACAUAACUCAUGCAUUUUCAUCCAAUUGAUUUUUGACAAAAGUGGCACACAGAAUGGGGAGAGGAUAGAUAAAUAAAUAAAUUGUUUUGAGAUAUCUGUA